RNAcentral lists this ribosomal RNA (448 nucleotides) under uncultured bacterium. Its description in RNAcentral is "bacterial SSU rRNA". It matches the Rfam family "Bacterial small subunit ribosomal RNA", at positions 329 to 792 of the family's 1533-position model. The record is from RNAcentral.
GGCCAGACUCCUACGGGAGGCAGCAGUGGGGAAUAUUGGGCAAUGGGCGCAAGCCUGACCCAGCAACGCCGCGUGAAGGAAGAAGGCUCUCGGGUUGUAAACUUCUUUUAUCAGGGACGAAGCAAGUGACGGUACCUGAUGAAUAAGCCACGGCUAACUACGUGCCAGCAGCCGCGGUAAUACGUAGGUGGCAAGCGUUAUCCGGAUUUACUGGGUGUAAGGGCGUGUAGCCGGGCUGACAAGUCAGAUGUGAAAUCCGGGGGCUCAACCCCCGAACUGCAUUUGAAACUGUUGGUCUUGAGUAUCGGAGAGGCAGGCGGAAUUCCUAGUGUAGCGGUGAAAUGCGUAGAUAUUAGGAGGAACACCAGUGGCGAAGGCGGCUUACUGGACUGUAAAUGACGCUGAGGCUCGAAAGCGUGGGGAGCAAACAGGAUUAGAUACCCUAGUA